UUGGUAAUAACGGUCAAAGGAAGAAGGAAGGGGAUACUAGUGCGGUCUACACUCAACGAGGACCCAGUAGGGAUCGUUACUUCCAGCACACCGCUGCGGUGACUAUUCCUGCUGAACAACAACAACAACCGCAACAGCAACAACAACAACAGAGGCAACCGUUCCAGCAGAGGCCUCAGAGGGCUGGAUAUCAAGUUAGGGGGAGAGCUGUGGACAGG
Molecule: long non-coding RNA, 218 nt
Filed under: Lathyrus oleraceus (garden pea)
Lineage: Eukaryota; Viridiplantae; Streptophyta; Magnoliopsida; Fabales; Fabaceae
Description: Pisum sativum (pea) long non-coding RNA (PSAT_LNC010913)
Source: RNAcentral